Molecule: non-coding RNA, 700 nt
Organism: Physcomitrium patens
Lineage: Eukaryota; Viridiplantae; Streptophyta; Bryopsida; Funariales; Funariaceae
Source: RefSeq, a predicted model, not a curated record
UCCUGUCUACGAUUUAAAUCCAUCAACAGUUACGUCUGUGCACGAAGCUGGACCAUCUGUGUUCCUAGCACCGUAAAAUUCCACCCACUGCACCCGAUCCGAACACCACCCAGAGUCCGGCACUCGGAACUGAAGCAAGUGGAAAACCUUUCUAUUCUUCCUCGAACAAAACUGCAAGCUCAAUACCAACUGAGUUGUGAUACCCUAAUCCCACACAAACUCACCCUAGGAAUUCGAUUUAGCUAUUGGGUGUCAAAUUUCGCUGGUGGGUAAGCCACACCUUCAACGGAAAUUUGCUACGACAGAUUAAUACAAAGACUCCUCGAAAGUAUCAGUCUUCGUCGUCGUCGAUCACUGAGCCCAUCCACAUCGGUACAACGUUGUUACGCCAUCCGCUAUCAGUUUUUGUGAAGAAAUCGACCCUAGCGCACUACCCAGUUCAUCUCUCGCUGCAUCAAACCAAACUCUCGGAUUACCCAUUUUGAGGCUUGAAAUUUCUAGCAUCGACCAUCACGCGAGAGAUCAAACUUUCGGCAAGGGAAUAGGGCCGGAGACGAAGCCGGUGUGGUGUGAAAGGGGAGAAUUCUAAGCGUGUUGUGAAGGCUGGCUUGUUGCAAAUUUUGAACCAAGGGUUCUGAUAGCUUGUUGAAUAUUUUACAACUUAUAUUAUCAUAUUAAUGGAAAAAUAAAUUUAUAUAAA